UCCGCGCUCCGGCUGGGGCCCUCCUCCGCUCGCCGCAGUCUGCCGGUGAAGUUGCGGUCUUGUGUUUGAACACUAACCCCAAGCGCGUGGCUGAGUGUGAGCGAGCGUGUGUGACGUCGGGAGGCGCCGCGGCUUAACCGAAGCGCCCCGCUCGGCUAUCCCUUGUCUGGACCAAAAGUGCUGACUGGCUGACCCUGGCGGUCACAUUUGCUCUCUGGGGUUUUUGAAAACCUUAAAUCAAAGUUGCUUUUCUCUCUGGCAACUGCCGAGGCUCCUUCCGCGGCCUCUGGGCUGUGAACAGAUAAGGACGUGAGUUUCCCCGACCAGAGAUGGAGUGAUGAUUAAGGAACAAAAUGUCCCUGUCCUCAUGGAGGUUAAAGUCUGGAGAGAAAUCAGACAUCGAACGGGCAGUUACGUACCAGGAAGACAUCACCUCCUUAAGUACUGAACACUGUUGUUUAAUAAGAUUACAACUGAACACCAGGAGGAAGGUGACAGUAGGAGAGGUUGAACCCUGAGAAGACCUUCCUGAAAGUGGACCAAAAAGUCGAGCAAGGGAUCUUGAAAGGACAGCCCUGUUCCAGAUGGAAAUGGUAAUCCUCCAUUUCUCCACCUCUGCAUUCACCAAACACCGACUACAUCUUUGAAGGAUUACUCUUGCAAAAUAACUUGGAAACUCCAGACUGUUUUGUUUAUUUGAAGAGCCCCUGACCAGGAACACUAGGGAUAAACUGAGACUACGUGGAGUUGAUGAAGCUCCCCACAGUAAGGUAGCACACUCAUUUCCAGAUGAAAUUGACCAAGCAGAUGGGCUCAAAAGGAGCAACAGACUCUAGACUGUGAAACUCCAGCCUGUGUGAGGGAUCUUGGUUCUGCCCCAGACUUGAGGAGCCAUCUGCUUGGAGCUUAGAACUCUGGAGGGACCCUGAGGCCCUUCUGUGUUCUGGCCUGGCCCAGCGGCAGGCGGUGGGAUGAGAGAGUGCCGGGGGAAGGGAGAUCUCUUCCCAUCUACUCUAAGGGUGGUGUUUCAGAAAUCGCUGCUUUUGAAUAGUCUGCCCGACCUAAUUGGAAAACCCAUGAGAUGGAGUAUUGAACUGACUUCCCUGUCUCCGGACUUCUCUUAAUUUCUAGGGCAGGUCAGGGAUACAUCAGACACUUCAGGCAUGGAUCAACUCCUUUUGAUACACACUUGCAACAGUGGACAGAGGACCCUUCGGGUAUAGUUCAUCUUUUUUCAGCUAUGUCAUAGGUCUGCGAAACUGGGUAUGCAACUCAACCUAAGGAGAAGCAAUUUCUUCCUCCUAGUGGAAUUAUGAGGCUUAAAUGAGACACUGUGUCAGGUGCCAUCAUCGUUCUUAGCACAUCGUUAGUGCCUGAUGCACAUUAGUUCCCUUUCCCUUGUCUAUAAACAGGGUGUGAGCAUUGGCUCAGGUGCUCAGGCCAUGGAGCAAUCUGCUGUUGUUCUCAGAGCACCUGACACAUGAACACACGAUCUUAGUUGUGAAAUCACAUGGAAGUCCACUUUCUUAAAAUCAGCAUUAGUUCACUUAGCAUGACUAUUUGCUAGACUUUCUGCUAAGCUUUGGAGAUAUCAAUGAAGUACAGUCCCCAUCUGAAAGCCGUUCUGAAUUUGAGGGAAAGCUCAGCACGUAACAGACAAGGAUUACUUGGAGUCCAUCAGCCAAGGAGCAUGGAGGGAUGGAAAAGGUAUGAGGGGGGUAGCAUUUUUAGUAAGGACACUAGGUGAUUCAGAUGGAGGUGGCUCAAGAAACAUACUUGAAAAAACACUUCACUUAAAUGCAUUCAUUGUAGAAGUCUAACUUUUAUGAGUAAUGUUGGACCACUUACGGUUAACUUCAAAAAAUAAGCUGGCUUUAUCAGCUUGUCUUAUUAUGUGCUCCCACAUUUUUUUUCUAAUCCCCAAUCCUAGUUACCAAGAAAAUCACCCUUUCUCCCACACCUUUUCUCAUCAGCACAUCCAAAGAAAACAAGCAUCCAGAUAAUUAAAUUCAAUUAGCUCUCUCAAAAACAUAGACCUCUAUGGGUGUGUCCUCCAAGCUGCCAGGAUAGUGCUGAGCUCUGCAAGCCCUACAAAUAAGUACUUGCAGGCUCACCGAUUUAGAGACACACAGACACAUGCCUGGUCUCAGUUGUAUAUUGGUGUCCAGUGCUCAUUCAGAUGCAUUCGGUUUAAAUAAAGAAAGAGCAUUAAAGGUGUACGUUGGUCAUUGCUUAACAUUGGAGCAUCUCUUAGCUUGAGUUUUGCCAUGAUGAUGACUUGUGGGUUCAAGUUCUGUUUAUACAGCACUGUAACAGAAAAAUUGAAAACUGAAAAAGUUCAACUAACUCACCGAUUGUGUCACCUUCAUGUCAUACUGAUGAUUUUAUUAUUUUCUAACUUCACCAGAAUGAGUAAGUAUUUUGGUGGGUAGCAGGUACAGAUUUGAAUAAGUGUUCCAUCUGGUGUUAUUUUUGUUACACCUUAACUUCUUAAAGAUCUAUUUUAUGAGAACAAACCAGUUCUUGUACUUGCACGAGGCUUGCUAUUUACUUUUACCAAAAUUUAAAACUCCACCUACAGAUUGAGGCACCCGGCUCUGGAGCGUCCAGACCUAUUUACGGUGUAAUUGCCCCUUCUACCAGAGGUGGCGUUGCUGACGGAGCAGCAGUGGUCUUCACUGUUUGGACUUGUCAGAGAGUCCGGAAGAAGAGUAAGCAUUGUAUUCCCGUAAGGUAGAGCCAAUUGCUGGCUUCUCUUCUUUUCAAGAGAUUUUUUUUUUUUUCCAUUUGAAGUGGCCUGUGUGAGGUGAAGAUGGCUAGGUGGUUCUGUUACACAUGGCGUCUCACACAUCUUAACCAAUUAGAAAGGACUGUGGGGAAUUACAGGGAAUUAAUCCCAUCCAGAAGGUCUAGGGACAGCCUCAACUACUCAAACUCUAGUUACUUGGUUUACAAUGUCACAAGAGCCCCUUGAUUGGAUUAAAGCUGAAUAUCUCCGGGCAGUUUGUCUAUUAUUUCUUGUGAACAAUGUGUGUGUGUGUGUGUGUGUGGCUACAACUGUGUCAGCAUUUGUCGGGGGUUAAAAUUGAGCUCUCACAUUCAUUUUAUUCAAUUGGCCAGGCCAUGAGGCCCUUUGAAAAUGGCCACUUCGUUUACAUGUAUAAAAACCAUGCCAUUUAGUUGACUUCUCUUGACUUUUUCAAGUGUUUAUUUUGAAGUUUCAUUUUAUACAGGAAAUAGACAUAAUCACCAAUAAAUUUAACUUUAAUAACUUAGACCCUGGGAGCCUUUCCUGGUUGGCAGAAAAUUCCCUACAUCUUGCAAAUCCUCCUUAUGGGAUAUCCUAUUUCUUAUCUGGAGUUGAAAGUCAGGAUUAAUCUGGAUAAUUAAGAAAAUCUUUCUAAAAGAUACCCUGCAUCCUCUUUAAAAUUAAACUCUGCUUGGAAGUUUCCUUUCUUUUCUUAGUAAAAUCAUAGUGUCAAUGAUAAAAGUAAAAAUAGAUCACAGGAAUUUUGGUGUUUUCCAUAGGUCUUUAUAAAACUCAAAGACAGUGGCAUCUUCCCAAUUUAUUAUACCACAAAAAAAUGACAUUAGGAUAUAAUUUUGAAAUCAACUGAUUACUAAUAGUCAAUAUUCAUUUAAUGAUAAAUUUAAUAUGCCAAAGAAGUUGCGGGAGUGUAUAAAGAAAAAGCUUUUGAUUCUUUCAAUCAAAUUAUCCAUUUGAAAAGCUCCUAUACCAUCUAUGCGGCAUAUGUGUGCUUGAGUGAACACACACACACACACAGAGUUAAUCUGCUUUGUGGAGUCUGAAAGCCAGAAACCCUUCUGCAGAUAGCAGUACUGAAGGUUUCUCAGCCUUCCCUUUUGCUUUCUAAGGCGUGGAGCAACGUGGCUCCUUCCCAGACAGUCAGACCUGCUAUAAAAAGUAACAUCGGCCAUGGGAAUUAUACAGGGAGAAGGGAUAUGCCAUAAACAGGGAUAAACAUCUUCCUUUAUGCAAAGCUGCCAGAUCCCUUUAAGCAGAGAACUGUUCCCUGUCCCCACUGCGGCCCCUCUUUCCUGUCCAGGGACCAAUGAAGUGGGGCUUUCCAUCCUAAAUGAUCCAUCGGGAGAGGCUUAGAUAAGGCGCACAGUUGCCAUCAAUAGCCUUCAAACCCCCAUCUCUGGGACAAAGUGGGAAGGCUAUCCUUUUGUUACCACUCUAUCGAGGAGAAAAAACCCGAGGAAAACAUCUACUGGACAAAGGCUACUCUGUGUGCUGAGAAACCCUGAUCCUCGACUAUUGUCGCCAGCCUUAUUUAUGCCACAGAGAUGACUUUUCAGAGGUUUAGCAAAAUUAUCAGCAGGGCAAUUUUAAUACUCUAUGUUUAUUUAGUUAGCACACUCUCCAUUUUCUAGGGGAAGAAAACAUUCAAGGAAUUUUCUUUAAACAAAAAGUUACAGAGGGAAGAAUAAAAUGUUCAUUUCUGUGUAGGAAUGCUCUCUCACUGUGAAAUGCUCUGAUAUGACAAGAAAUGUACUUUAUGCCAUCCCUUAAGAAACCGAUCCUAUACAUGCGAUGUGUAGAUGUAUUAUAUAUUUUUUAUUAUAUAAUGUAUAUAUCAUAUACAUUAUUAUUUCAAUUCUUUCAUAUUUGAACAAGUGCACUUACUAGACAUGAGGGCUUUUUCUGACCAACCCCCAAAUCCAAGUAGGCUUUAAAUUAUAAGUAGUGCUUUCAGCUCGUGCGGGAGAUGGGAAAUGGAGCGAGAGGUAGAGAGUGCCAAAGACACACAGACGGAGUAAGGCAGCGUGGGUUUGGAGUCCCCGUGGUCCAAGUUCUGAAUCUCAAUUCCAGACCUUACUCGUUAAUAGACCCUAAUAAGUAUUAUUUUGUUUUGAUUUUUGAGCUGUAACAUUGGGGUAAUAAUACCUCCCUUACAGACCUGCUGUUACACACGUAAAAAUCUCUGUUGUAAAGUAGUCAUGAAAAAUAAGAUUUAAAGGUGCUUAAGGACCGAGAAGGUGCCUGCAGACUGACUUAAUUUUCUUUUCCACCUCCACUUGAGAAUCUGAGGGAAUCUGGAGAAACUUUUGCUAUUCUAUGCCAUUGAAUUUUCAAACUAGAAUCUAUUAUCCAGUCAACAAAUAUUUAUUACCCAUUCUGAGCCAGAUACCAGAGGAAUUCUGCGGAGUGCUUCAGAGAGCCACAAAUGUUUGAUCUGUAUUUUAUUCUAGACAUAUACUUUAACUACUUGAAAAAAGAAUGGAAGUGGUCUGCAUGUUCCAUCUGCUACAUACCAUAUGUACUAAGUUUUAAUUCUUCUGAUACCACUGACGCCUUAACCUGUGCUUUCAGGUGACCUCUUUUUAGUGUAGACUCAGAAUACAGCUUCUCCUACCUUCUCUGAAAACAUUUUUACUUCUCCUAAAUGUGCCAUUAAUUAGAAAUAUAGUGGUGCUGAAACAUUCCUUUAAAAAUUCAGAACUGCUCAAGCGUGCUUCUGUGAAACUACGUGAGGGGUCACGUGAAUGUUGGGCUCGAUUAAAUGCCAGGUCAGGCCUGCGGAUCUGCUCAGAACAUGCUUUGUUCCCAGUAUAACUGCAUGGUUGUGCAAAAAUAAAUGACAAGCUAUCUUGUUCAGUACAGUUUGGGACACUUACUGUAGAUUUUGGGUGCUUCUCUUCUGACUUUUAUAUUUGCGAGAAAGAAUGAACAGUUGUUACAUAUUAUUGGUGACUCAGUUUUUGAAAUGAAAUGUUCCUAGUUGCUUUUUUUGAAGAGUGUGCUGAGGUUGCAAAGGGAACUGUGCAGAAGUUUCACCACUUGUAAAGACUUACAUGAUUGAAUUAGCAUUUUCCUCAAUACUGUGCAAUCAAAAUAAAAUAUAUCAAAAAAUGAAA
Molecule: non-coding RNA, 5883 nt
Organism: Equus caballus (horse)
Lineage: Eukaryota; Metazoa; Chordata; Mammalia; Perissodactyla; Equidae
Source: RefSeq, a predicted model, not a curated record